GAUGAGGCGCGUGCAACGGUUUGGCUGUGAACCGAUUCUGCUCAACAUCAUCA
RNAcentral lists this transfer RNA (53 nucleotides) under Boodlea composita. Its description in RNAcentral is "tRNA-His". Lineage: Eukaryota; Viridiplantae; Chlorophyta; Ulvophyceae; Cladophorales; Boodleaceae. The record is from RNAcentral.